RNAcentral lists this ribosomal RNA (390 nucleotides) under Desulfovibrio sp. RNAcentral describes it as "partial 23S ribosomal RNA". It matches the Rfam family "Bacterial large subunit ribosomal RNA", at positions 2535 to 2925 of the family's 2925-position model. The record is from RNAcentral. Lineage: Bacteria; Pseudomonadati; Thermodesulfobacteriota; Desulfovibrionia; Desulfovibrionales; Desulfovibrionaceae.
GCUCAUCACAUCCUGGGGCUGAAGCAGGUCCCAAGGGUACGGCUGUUCGCCGUUUAAAGUGGUACGCGAGCUGGGUUUAAAACGUCGUGAGACAGUUUGGUCCCUAUCUUCUGUGGGCGUAGGAGAAUUGAGAGGGCCUGUCCCUAGUACGAGAGGACCGGGAUGGACGCACCCCUGGUGGAUCUGUUGUCGCGCCAGCGGCACAGCAGAGUAGCUAUGUGCGGAAGGGAUAACCGCUGAAAGCAUCUAAGCGGGAAGCCUGCCUCAAGAUAAGUUCUCCCUGACGCAAGUCCUGAAGGGCCGUGGUAGACCACCACGUUGAUAGGCUGGAGGUGGAAGCCCCGUGAGGGGUGGAGCUGACCAGUACUAAUAGCCCGUGAGACUUGUCCC